This is a non-coding RNA of Linepithema humile (Argentine ant), 730 nucleotides long. Lineage: Eukaryota; Metazoa; Arthropoda; Insecta; Hymenoptera; Formicidae. The record is from RefSeq and is a predicted model, not a curated record.
AUAAUUUUUUAUCCAAUUAAAUCGAUUCGGUCGGUCUGUCAAACUAUACACUCGAAUGAGCCACAAGUAGGAUCAUUCUCCGGUCUAGUUAGGGCAUUAUAUCCUCUCUUUCUCUUUCUCACUCUUUCUCUCUUGCACUGUGUGUCGGCGCGUACAUUCUACGAAUUCUUCCAAAUCAAAAUCUGUGCGGGACCUUAUUUUUGCUAUUAUCCUGUUGUCUUUUUCGCAAGUGAUAGUUGUACGGAGUAAAUCGUACAUCAGGGUGUAUCGGUGUGUUAUUUUUAUUAUCUUAAUCAUCCAAACAACUUCCAUACUACACUCUUUUUACUACUUUACAAUUAACCUCAAAAUCACCCCGGUGAGAUAAUUACUUUUUAUAAAUAUCAUUCUAUCAUUUUCUAUAGAAAGUCCGUGCAUAUCCGUGCGAUAAUCUAUUCGAGUAUUAUUUGUCUUCUUAUAUAAUAAAGUACGCAUUGCGAAAGUGUCGUAUAAAAUGUCGCGCAAUAAUAAUUAAUCAGAUUUUCGCGAGUGAACCACGAGUGAAUCACGAGUGAAUUGUGUUCUCUUAUACUGAGAGGAUGAGCAGGCUCAGGAGGUGUAUCGGGCAUCGGUGGAGCAACUUUGAGAUCAACUUUACAGAUCAACGGAACAAAAACUCCGCUGCUGCGCAUCGUGCCGUUGCAGGACUCCCAAUAUGCUGUACGCUAUCGCCAAGCAGCCGACGUAUCCG